Molecule: non-coding RNA, 455 nt
Organism: Ictidomys tridecemlineatus (thirteen-lined ground squirrel)
Lineage: Eukaryota; Metazoa; Chordata; Mammalia; Rodentia; Sciuridae
Source: RefSeq, a predicted model, not a curated record
UAGCUCUUGUGCUGGUUGUUUUUCCCCACUCUCCAACCAGCUGUUAUUCUGUCAGAGGAAAGGAUUUUUACCAAGUGGAAACAUGAGCCUUUUAAAAUCUUUCUCGUUUGUGUGAGAGAGAGAAUCUUCCUGGUGCUUUUGUACUUUCAGAAGGAUAAUCCAUAAUAGUCCUGCAUUGUACUGAAUUCUGCACUGUGGCAUAUAGAAUAAAACUGGCUUGUAGCACCAAAGUUUUCUAUAAAAUAUUGAAUGAAGAAAAGAACAGUAAAAAUCAAACCUGGGGAAAUUGGAAGAUGGCCCUGCUGUGGUGUCCCAUUCUUCCUGCUAAGGACAAUACCGGAAGAGUCAGCUCCAUGAACAGACAGGAAGGCAGAACACUAUACCAGUAAUGUCUCUGUCACAUUUCCUGAGAGCUACAUUUGUAGGUCUAAUAAAUUUGGGGUUUUCAUUUUUUA